This 1431-nucleotide ribosomal RNA is filed under the name uncultured organism. RNAcentral describes it as "16S ribosomal RNA". It matches the Rfam family "Bacterial small subunit ribosomal RNA". The record is from RNAcentral.
GCUUAACACAUGCAAGUCGAGGGGCAGCACAGGUAGCAAUACCGGGUGGCGACCGGCGCACGGGUGAGUAACGCGUAUGCAACUUGCCUAUCAGAGGGGGAUAACCCGGCGAAAGUCGGACUAAUACCGCAUGAAGCAGGGGCCCCGCAUGGGGAUAUUUGCUAAAGAUUCAUCGCUGAUAGAUAGGCAUGCGUUCCAUUAGGCAGUUGGCGGGGUAACGGCCCACCAAACCGACGAUGGAUAGGGGUUCUGAGAGGAAGGUCCCCCACAUUGGUACUGAGACACGGACCAAACUCCUACGGGAGGCAGCAGUGAGGAAUAUUGGUCAAUGGCCGAGAGGCUGAACCAGCCAAGUCGCGUGAGGGAUGAAGGUUCUAUGGAUCGUAAACCUCUUUUAUAAGGGAAUAAAGUGCGGGACGUGUCCCGUUUUGUAUGUACCUUAUGAAUAAGGAUCGGCUAACUCCGUGCCAGCAGCCGCGGUAAUACGGAGGAUCCGAGCGUUAUCCGGAUUUAUUGGGUUUAAAGGGUGCGUAGGCGGCCUUUUAAGUCAGCGGUGAAAGUCUGUGGCUCAACCAUAGAAUUGCCGUUGAAACUGGGGGGCUUGAGUAUGUUUGAGGCAGGCGGAAUGCGUGGUGUAGCGGUGAAAUGCAUAGAUAUCACGCAGAACCCCGAUUGCGAAGGCAGCCUGCCAAGCCAUUACUGACGCUGAUGCACGAAAGCGUGGGGAUCAAACAGGAUUAGAUACCCUGGUAGUCCACGCAGUAAACGAUGAUCACUAGCUGUUUGCGAUACACUGUAAGCGGCACAGCGAAAGCGUUAAGUGAUCCACCUGGGGAGUACGCCGGCAACGGUGAAACUCAAAGGAAUUGACGGGGGCCCGCACAAGCGGAGGAACAUGUGGUUUAAUUCGAUGAUACGCGAGGAACCUUACCCGGGUUUGAACGCAUUCGGACCGAGGUGGAAACACCUUUUCUAGCAAUAGCCGUUUGCGAGGUGCUGCAUGGUUGUCGUCAGCUCGUGCCGUGAGGUGUCGGCUUAAGUGCCAUAACGAGCGCAACCCUUGCCACUAGUUACUAACAGGUUAGGCUGAGGACUCUGGUGGGACUGCCAGCGUAAGCUGCGAGGAUGGCGGGGGUGACGUCAAAUCAGCACGGCCCUUACAUCCGGGGCGACACACGUGUUACAAUGGCGUGGACAAAGGGAUGCCACCUGGCGACAGGGAGCGAAUCCCCAAACCACGUCUCAGUUCGGAUCGGAGUCUGCAACCCGACUCCGUGAAGCUGGAUUCGCUAGUAAUCGCGCAUCAGCCAUGGCGCGGUGAAUACGUUCCCGGGCCUUGUACACACCGCCCGUCAAGCCAUGGGAGCCGGGGGUACCUGAAGUCCGUAACCGAAAGGAUCGGCCUAGGGUAAAACUGGUGACUGGGGCUAA